This 74-nucleotide transfer RNA is filed under the name Candidatus Gastranaerophilales bacterium HUM_9. RNAcentral describes it as "tRNA-Arg". It matches the Rfam family "tRNA". From Rfam's summary of the family: Transfer RNA (tRNA) molecules are approximately 80 nucleotides in length. Their secondary structure includes four short double-helical elements and three loops (D, anti-codon, and T loops). The record is from RNAcentral. Lineage: Bacteria; Bacillati; Candidatus Melainabacteria; Candidatus Gastranaerophilales. RNAcentral also lists the same sequence under 1 other name.
GUGCCCGUAGCUCAGUUGGAUAGAGUACAAGUUUCCGAAACUUGAGGUCAUGGGUUCAAUCCCCAUCGGGCAUA